This 467-nucleotide ribosomal RNA is filed under the name uncultured archaeon. Its description in RNAcentral is "bacterial SSU rRNA". It matches the Rfam family "Archaeal small subunit ribosomal RNA", at positions 1 to 474 of the family's 1478-position model. The record is from RNAcentral.
UUCCGGUUGAUCCUGCCAGACCUGACUGCUAUCGGAUUGAUACUAAGCCAUGCGAGUCUUUGUAGUAAUACAAGGCAGACGGCUCAGUAACACGUAGUCAACCUACCCUAUGGACGAGAAUAAUCUCGGGAAACUGAGCAUAAUUCUUGAUAGAUCAUAAUGCCUGGAAUGGUUUAUGGUUAAAAUGAUUCGUCGCCAUAGGAUAGGACUGCGGCCUAUCAGCUUGUUGGUGAGGUAAUGGCCCACCAAGGCGAUUACAGGUACGGGCUCUGAGAGGAGAAGCCCGGAGAUGGGUACUGAGACACGGACCCAGGCCCUAUGGGGCGCAGCAGGCGAGAAAACUUUGCAAUGUGCGAAAGCACGACAAGGUUAAUCCGAGUGAUUUCUGCUAAAGAAAUCUUUUGCCAGUCGUAAAACCGCUGGUGAAUAAGGGGUGGGCAAGUUCUGGUGCCAGCAGCCGCGGUAAU